GACGAACCGUGCGAACGUUAUUCGGAAUCACUGGGCUUAAAGGGCGCGUAGGCGGGUCACCAAGUCCGGGGUGAAAUCCCACGGCCCAACCGUGGAAGUGCCUUGGAUACUGGAGACCUCGAGGGGGAUAGGGGCGUGCGGAACUCAGGGUGGAGCGGUGAAAUGCGUAGAUAUCCUGAGGAACACCGGUGGCGAAAGCGGCGCGCUGGAUCCCUUCUGACGCUGAGGCGCGAAAGCCAGGGGAGCAAACGGG
Molecule: ribosomal RNA, 253 nt
Filed under: uncultured bacterium
Lineage: Bacteria
Description: partial 16S ribosomal RNA
Rfam family: Bacterial small subunit ribosomal RNA
Source: RNAcentral